AGAAAAGGAAGUGAAAUCCUACUUGGCAAAUCAUAGCUUCUCAAUGGAUUUUUGUAGCCUUUUGGCAUUUUGAACCCCGGGAAUGUAGAAGCUGCAUAAGGAGCUGUUGCUGGGUUCAACUAGCUGCACCAACUGUUAAGGAUAAGGUGAGCCGCCUCUGAAGAAGCCCAUCCAAUCCCCUUGACUCUAAGAGAGCUAAGGCAACUCGUGUGUCUAACCUUCAGAUAGCUAAAUGCAGCCAAGGAAAGUCCAUCUGUAGUCAUCUAAGUCCUCUGACUUUCCCUUCGAUGCUUUUGAAGAAUGUUUGCCUUCUCUACAUUCACAAGCAGUUCACCGUCAGUGGAAAACUGAGAUGUGCCAAUCAGUAGGGAGUGGUUCAUCAUAUUCAGUACUCUGCAAAUGUAAUGCACUGCUGCAGCUGGAAGUGUGCCAGGAGGGAACUCUUGAAAGCUGGAAGAACUGGGUGGACGUGCUUGGAGGCAGGAAGGUAGGUGGGAAUGUUCCUCCACACUUCUGAAUUUACUGUGGUGCCUGCAGAAAGG
RNAcentral lists this long non-coding RNA (542 nucleotides) under Phasianus colchicus (ring-necked pheasant). Its description in RNAcentral is "lncRNA (ENSPCLG00000020661.1)". Lineage: Eukaryota; Metazoa; Chordata; Aves; Galliformes; Phasianidae. The record is from RNAcentral.